RNAcentral lists this small nucleolar RNA (74 nucleotides) under Procavia capensis (Cape rock hyrax). RNAcentral describes it as "Small nucleolar RNA SNORD24 (ENSPCAG00000019713.1)". It matches the Rfam family "Small nucleolar RNA SNORD24". Rfam says of the family: U24 is a member of the C/D class of snoRNA which contain the C (UGAUGA) and D (CUGA) box motifs. C/D box snoRNAs have been shown to act as methylation guides for a number of RNA targets. Lineage: Eukaryota; Metazoa; Chordata; Mammalia; Hyracoidea; Procaviidae. The record is from RNAcentral.
UGCAGAUGAUGUAGAAGAAUAUUUGCUAUCUGAAAGACGGUGUUGCCACUUAAACCACCAAGAUCUCUGAUGCA